This 257-nucleotide ribosomal RNA is filed under the name uncultured bacterium. RNAcentral's name for it is "partial 16S ribosomal RNA". It matches the Rfam family "Bacterial small subunit ribosomal RNA", at positions 524 to 776 of the family's 1533-position model. The record is from RNAcentral.
UACAGAGGUCUCAAGCGUUGUUCGGAUUCAUUGGGCGUAAAGGGUGCGUAGGCGGCGCGGUAAGUCGGGUGUGAAAUCUCGGGGCUUAACUCCGAAACUGCAUUCGAUACUACCGUGCUUGAGGACUGGAGAGGAGACUGGAAUUUACGGUGUAGCGGUGAAAUGACGUAGAUAUCGUAAGGAAGACCAGUCGGACGAAGGCGGGAUCUCUGGACAGUUCCUGACGCUGAGGCACGAAGGCCAGGGGAGCAAACGGG